GAUGAACGCUAGCGGCAGGCCUAACACAUGCAAGUCGAGGGGUAACAUAGAGAAGCUUGCUUUUCUGAUGACGACCGGCGCACGGGUGCGUAACGCGUAUAGAAUCUACCUUAUACUGAGGGAUAGCCUUUGGAAACGAAGAUUAAUACCUCAUGGUCUAUUAGAUUGGCAUCAAUUUAAUAGUAAAGGUUACGGUAUAAGAUGACUAUGCGUCCUAUUAGCUAGAUGGUGUGGUAACGGCACACCAUGGCAACGAUAGGUAGGGGCCCUGAGAGGGGGAUCCCCCACACUGGUACUGAGACACGGACCAG
This 311-nucleotide ribosomal RNA is filed under the name uncultured bacterium. Its description in RNAcentral is "bacterial SSU rRNA". It matches the Rfam family "Bacterial small subunit ribosomal RNA", at positions 28 to 334 of the family's 1533-position model. The record is from RNAcentral.